RNAcentral lists this ribosomal RNA (779 nucleotides) under uncultured Neocallimastigales. Its description in RNAcentral is "partial large subunit ribosomal RNA". It matches the Rfam family "Eukaryotic large subunit ribosomal RNA", at positions 23 to 632 of the family's 3401-position model. Lineage: Eukaryota; Fungi; Neocallimastigomycota; Neocallimastigomycetes; Neocallimastigales. The record is from RNAcentral.
AGACUCUGUGCGCGUGCAUAUCAAUAAGCGGAGGAAAAGAAACUAACUAGGAUUCCCUUAGUAACGGCGAGUGAAGCGGGAAGAGCUCAAAUUUGAAAUCUUCAAGGUUCUACCUUGACGAAUUGUAGUUUAAUAGAAGUGUUUUCUGUUAGUAGAGUUGGCUAAAAGUUCUUUGGAAUAGGACAUCAUAGAGGGUGAGAAUCCCGUAUUUGGUCAUUCCUUUCUAGCUUUGUGAUACACUUUCAACGAGUCGGAUUGUUUGGGAAUGCAGUCCGAAAAUGGGUGGUAAAUUUCAUCUAAAGCUAAAUAUUGGCGAGAGACCGAUAGCGAACAAGUACCGUGAGGGAAAGAUGAAAAGAACUUUGAAAAGAGAGUUAAACAGUACGUGAAAUUGUCAAAAGGGAAGCGUUUGACACCAGUGUUGUUUUCUCGAAAAUCAAUUAAAAAUGAUGGGAUUUUGUGUUGUAUUGACUUUAUCAGCUUUCUGCACUUUUUUUCUUAUCUUUUUUAAUGCACUUUUCGUUUAACAAGUCAACAUCAAUUUCUUUUGUUGUAAAAAGGUCAUUGGGAGGUGGCUUUCUUUUCGGAGAAAGUGUUUAUAGCCUUUGAUCCCUGCAAUCGGAGAGACUGAGGUCUGCAGCGUAGAUCCUUCGGGGUUAGAUACAUUUGUGCUAAGUUAUAGCUUUUUAUAGACAACUUGUUGACUAUAUUUAGUCUUGUAGCUUACUCGCUUAUGCUAUUUUACCUACGCUUAGGAUGUUGAGUCGUAGAGCACGCAG